This 266-nucleotide ribosomal RNA is filed under the name uncultured bacterium. RNAcentral describes it as "partial 16S ribosomal RNA". It matches the Rfam family "Bacterial small subunit ribosomal RNA", at positions 335 to 619 of the family's 1533-position model. The record is from RNAcentral.
ACUCCUACGGGAGGCAGCAGUGGGGAAUCUUGGACAAUGGGGCACCGUAGCAUCCAGCCAUGCCGCGUGAGUAGAUGAAGGCCUUAGGGUCGUAAAGCUCUUUCGCCUGUGAAGAUAAUGACGGUAGCAGGUAAAGAAACCCGCGAUACUCCGUGCCAGCAGCCGCGGUAAUACGGAGGGGUUAGCGUUGUUCGGAAUUACUGGGCGUAAAGCGCACGUAGGCGGAUCGGAAAGUUGGGGUGAAAUCCCGGGCUCAACCCGCACGG